GCAAACUUGGUCAUUUAGAGGAAGUAAAAGUCGUAACAAGGUUUCCGUAGGUGAACCUGCGGAAGGAUCAUUAACAGAGAAAAACCCUCCUGGCUACGGUUCGCCCUGGCCGGAGUCUCCAACCUCUUGUGAAACGGUAGCCUUUCUGGGCCUCGCUUCGGUAGCAGGUUCGGCCUGAAAAGGUCGUGCCAUCAGCCUGCCGGCGUGCGUCCUAUACCAAACUUUUUAACUGCCUGAAUGGAAAAGAGUCUGAUAGACAUAACUUGGCGAAUGCCUGUUAAAACUUUCAACAACGGAUCUCUUGGUUCCCGCAUCGAUGAAGAACGCAGC
This 330-nucleotide unclassified non-coding RNA is filed under the name uncultured fungus. RNAcentral describes it as "partial contains small subunit ribosomal RNA, internal transcribed spacer 1, and 5.8S ribosomal RNA". The stretch from base 1 to 73 matches the Rfam family "Eukaryotic small subunit ribosomal RNA", at positions 1759 to 1831 of the family's 1831-position model. Lineage: Eukaryota; Fungi. The record is from RNAcentral.